AUUGAACGCUGGCGGCAUGCUUUACACAUGCAAGUCGAACGGCAGCGCGGGCUUCGGCCUGGCGGCGAGUGGCGAACGGGUGAGUAAUACAUCGGAACGUGCCCAGGAGUGGGGGAUAGCUCGGCGAAAGCCGGGUUAAUACCGCAUACGACCUGAGGGGGAAAGCGGGGGAUCUUCGGACCUCGCGCUAUUGGAGCGGCCGAUGGCAGAUUAGCUAGUUGGUGGGGUAAAGGCCUACCAAGGCGACGAUCUGUAGCUGGUCUGAGAGGACGACCAGCCACACUGGGACUGAGACACGGCCCAGACUCCUACGGGAGGCAGCAGUGGGGAAUUUUGGACAAUGGGCGAAAGCCUGAUCCAGCAAUGCCGCGUGUGUGAUGAAGGCCUUCGGGUUGUAAAGCACUUUUGGCGGGAACGAAAAGGACUGUGCCAAUACCACGGUUCGAUGACGGUACCCGCAGAAUAAGCACCGGCUAACUACGUG
This 484-nucleotide ribosomal RNA is filed under the name uncultured bacterium. Its description in RNAcentral is "partial 16S ribosomal RNA". It matches the Rfam family "Bacterial small subunit ribosomal RNA", at positions 29 to 507 of the family's 1533-position model. The record is from RNAcentral.